GGCUGGUCUGAAGGUAGUGAGUUAUCUCACUAUCUCACUUGAUUGUUCACAGUCAGUUACAGAUUGAACUCCUUGUUCUACUACUUAACCCCCCUCCUCACUACUGCACUUGACUAGUCUAAA
Unclassified non-coding RNA from Propithecus coquereli (Coquerel's sifaka), 123 nucleotides. It matches the Rfam family "Y RNA". From Rfam's summary of the family: Y RNAs are components of the Ro ribonucleoprotein particle (Ro RNP), in association with Ro60 and La proteins. The Y RNAs and Ro60 and La proteins are well conserved, but the function of the Ro RNP is not known. In humans the RNA component can be one of four small RNAs -- hY1, hY3, hY4 and hY5. NCBI's taxonomy places the organism in Eukaryota, Metazoa, Chordata, Mammalia, Primates, Indriidae. The record is from Ensembl.